RNAcentral lists this ribosomal RNA (255 nucleotides) under uncultured bacterium. RNAcentral's name for it is "partial small subunit ribosomal RNA". It matches the Rfam family "Bacterial small subunit ribosomal RNA", at positions 26 to 285 of the family's 1533-position model. The record is from RNAcentral.
AGGACGAACGCUGGCGGCGUGCUUAACACAUGCAAGUCGAGCGGAAAGGCCCUUCGGGGUACUCGAGCGGCGAACGGGUGAGUAACACGUGAGCAACCUGCCCUUAGCUCUGGGAUAGCUCCGGGAAACCGGAAUUAAUACCGGAUAUGACCUAGGCCGACAUCGGCCGUGGUGGAAAGUUUUUCGGCUAGAGAUGAGCUCGCGGCCUAUCAGCUUGGUUGGUGGGGUAACGGCCUACCAAGGCGACGACGGGUA